Molecule: transfer RNA, 73 nt
Filed under: Prunella rubeculoides (robin accentor)
Lineage: Eukaryota; Metazoa; Chordata; Aves; Passeriformes; Prunellidae
Description: tRNA-Leu
Rfam family: tRNA
About the family: Transfer RNA (tRNA) molecules are approximately 80 nucleotides in length. Their secondary structure includes four short double-helical elements and three loops (D, anti-codon, and T loops).
Source: RNAcentral
UACUUUCAAAGGAUAAUAGUAAUCCAAUGGUCUUAGGAGCCAUUCAUCUUGGUGCAAAUCCAAGUGAAAGUAA